GAUGAACGCUGGCUACAGGCUUAACACAUGCAAGUCGAGGGGAAACGACGGGGAAGCUUGCUUCCCCGGGCGUUGACCGGCGCACGGGUGAGUAACGCGUAUCCAACCUGCCUCUGACUGAGGGAUAACCCGUCGAAAGUCGGCCUAAUACCUCAUGGCAUCGUCUGCGGGCAUCCAACGACGAUUAAAGAUUUCAUCGGUCAGGGAUGGGGAUGCGUCUGAUUAGCUAGUUGGCGGGGUAACGGCCCACCAAGGCGACGAUCAGUAGGGGUUCUGAGAGGAAGGUCCCCCACAUUGGAACUGAGACACGGUCCAAACUCCUACGGGAGGCAGCAGUGAGGAAUAUUGGGCAAUGGGCGAGAGCCUGAACCAGCCAAGUAGCGUGCAGGAUGACGGCCCUAUGGGUGGUAAACUGCUUUUAGGCGGGGAUAAAGUGAGGGACGUGUCCUUCAUUGCAGGUACCGCAUGAAUAAGGACCGGCUAAUUCCGUG
RNAcentral lists this ribosomal RNA (491 nucleotides) under uncultured bacterium. RNAcentral describes it as "partial 16S ribosomal RNA". It matches the Rfam family "Bacterial small subunit ribosomal RNA", at positions 28 to 507 of the family's 1533-position model. The record is from RNAcentral.